This 721-nucleotide ribosomal RNA is filed under the name Abyssogammarus gracilis. RNAcentral describes it as "bacterial SSU rRNA". It matches the Rfam family "Eukaryotic small subunit ribosomal RNA", at positions 1255 to 1821 of the family's 1831-position model. The record is from RNAcentral. Lineage: Eukaryota; Metazoa; Arthropoda; Malacostraca; Amphipoda; Eulimnogammaridae.
CUCUUUCUCGAUUCAGUGGAUGGUGGUGCAUGGCCGUUCUUAGUUGGUGGAGUGAUCUGUCUGGUUAAUUCCGAUAACGAACGAGACUCUCCCCUGCUAANUAGUCGGUUGGAUCUUGAUCAGUGGGUUGAGUGCCGAGUAACUCUCGCUGUGCGUGGUGUGCGUCGCGUUCCUCACGGUUCGUUGCGUGCUCAUGUGUGGCGUUGGAUGCCUUGGAUCACACUGCACCCCAAGUCCGCCGCUUUGCUAUAACUCUUCUUAGAGGGAUUCACGGCACUGAAGCCGUAAGAGACUGAGAGCAAUAACAGGUCUGUGAUGCCCUUAGAUGCUCUGGGCCGCACGCGCGCUACAAUGCCGGGCACAGCAGGUGUUUCUCCUGCUCCGACAGGAGCGGGUAACCCUCUGAAAGCCAGUGUUCUUGCAAGUGCUUCCUCCCUCGUGGAGUUGCACAGAGGCGUGCUUGGGCCUGGGACUUGCAAUUCUUUCCCACCAACGAGGAAUGCCUAGUAGCGGCGGGUCACUGAGCCCGCUGUGACUCAGUCCCUGCCCUUUGUACACACCGCCCGUCGCUACUACCGAUUGGGUGUACCAGUGAGAGCCUUGGACUGGCGUCCGUUGUUGCUCGCAAGAGUGACAAGCGGGUCCGACGGAAAGAGGUCCGAACUGGUGCACUUAGAGGAAGUAAAAGUCGUAACAAGGUUUCCGUAGGUGAACCUGCGGA